CCUACGGGAGGCAGCAGUGAGGAAUAUUGGUCAAUGGACGAGAGUCUGAACCAGCCAAGUAGCGUGAAGGAUGACUGCCCUACGGGUUGUAAACUUCUUUUAUAUGGGAAUAAAAUGUUCCACGUGUGGGAUUUUGUAUGUACCAUAUGAAUAAGGAUCGGCUAACUCCGUGCCAGCAGCCGCGGUAAUACGGAGGAUCCGAGCGUUAUCCGGAUUUAUUGGGUUUAAAGGGAGCGUAGGUGGAUUGUUAAGUCAGUUGUGAAAGUUUGGGGCUCAACCGUAGAAUUGCAGUUGAAACUGGCAGUCUUGAGUACGUGAGAGGUAGGCGGAAUGCGUGGUGUAGCGGUGAAAUGCUUAGAUAUCACGAAGAACUCCGAUUGCGAAGGCAGCACACUGGACUGCAACUGACACUGAGGCUCGAAAGUGUGGGUAUCGAACAGGAUUAGAUACCCGAGUAGUC
RNAcentral lists this ribosomal RNA (460 nucleotides) under uncultured bacterium. Its description in RNAcentral is "partial 16S ribosomal RNA". It matches the Rfam family "Bacterial small subunit ribosomal RNA", at positions 338 to 795 of the family's 1533-position model. The record is from RNAcentral.